ACUGGUUGGUGGCACACUUCACCCUGAACGGGCGAAGCUGUCAUGCACGGUUAAUACGCAGUGCAGAUACUUAAGCCCGCCUACCGCGGGCUUUUUUUU
This is a non-coding RNA of Triticum urartu, 99 nucleotides long. NCBI's taxonomy places the organism in Eukaryota, Viridiplantae, Streptophyta, Magnoliopsida, Poales, Poaceae. The record is from Rfam.